This 545-nucleotide ribosomal RNA is filed under the name uncultured Glomeromycotina. RNAcentral describes it as "SSU rRNA". It matches the Rfam family "Eukaryotic small subunit ribosomal RNA", at positions 548 to 1098 of the family's 1831-position model. Lineage: Eukaryota; Fungi; Glomeromycota. The record is from RNAcentral.
UUGGAGGGCAAGUCUGGUGCCAGCAGCCGCGGUAAUUCCAGCUCCAAUAGCGUAUAUUAAAGUUGUUGCAGUUAAAAAGCUCGUAGUUGAAUUUCGGGGUUCUACCGUUGGUCAGGCAAUAGUCUGUACUGGCGUGUGGAAUUUCUACCUUCUGGGGAACCAUCAUGUUAUUUAUUUAGCGUGGUGGGAAACCAGGACCUUUACCUUGAAAAAAUUAGAGUGUUCAAAGCAGGCUUACGUCUGAAUACAUUAGCAUGGAAUAAUAAAAUAGGACGGUGGUCCCGUUUUGUUGGUUUCUGAAUCACCGUAAUGAUUAAUAGGGAUAGUUGGGGGCAUUAGUAUUCAAUUGUCAGAGGUGAAAUUCUUGGAUUUAUUGAAGACUAACUUCUGCGAAAGCAUUUGCCAAGGAUGUUUUCAUUAAUCAAGAACGAAAGUUAGGGGAUCGAAGACGAUCAGAUACCGUCGUAGUCUUAACCAUAAACUAUGCCGACUAGGGAUCGGACGGUGUUAACCUUUAUUGACUCGUUCGGCGCCUUACGGGAAAC